GUGCCAGCCGCCGCGGUAAUACGAAGGGUGCAAGCGUUAAUCGGAAUUACUGGGCGUAAAGCGUGCGUAGGCGGUGAGUUAAGUCUGUCGUGAAAGCCCUGGGCUCAACCUGGGAAUGGCGAUGGAUACUGGCUCGCUAGAGUGUGAUAGAGGAUGGCGGAAUUCCCGGUGUAGCGGUGAAAUGCGUAGAGAUCGGGAGGAACAUCUGUGGCGAAGGCGGCCAUCUGGAUCAACACUGACGCUGAGGCACGAAAGCGUGGGGAGCAAACAGGAUUAGAAACCCCUGUAGUCC
RNAcentral lists this ribosomal RNA (292 nucleotides) under uncultured bacterium. RNAcentral's name for it is "partial 16S ribosomal RNA". It matches the Rfam family "Bacterial small subunit ribosomal RNA", at positions 505 to 796 of the family's 1533-position model. The record is from RNAcentral.